Molecule: ribosomal RNA, 440 nt
Filed under: uncultured bacterium
Lineage: Bacteria
Description: partial 16S ribosomal RNA
Rfam family: Bacterial small subunit ribosomal RNA
Source: RNAcentral
CCUACGGGCGGCAGCAGUGGGGAAUAUUGCACAAUGGGGGAAACCCUGAUGCAGCAACGCCGCGUGAGUGAAGAAGUAUUUCGGUAUGUAAAGCUCUAUCAGCAGGGAAGAGAAUGACGGUACCUGACUAAGAAGCCCCGGCUAACUACGUGCCAGCAGCCGCGGUAAUACGUAGGGGGCGAGCGUUAUCCGGAUUUACUGGGUGUAAAGGGAGCGUAGACGGUUCUGCAAGUCUGAAGUGAAAGCCCGGGGCUUAACCGCGGAACGGCUUUGGAAACUGUGGAACUGGAGUGCUGGAGAGGCAAGCGGAAUUCCUAGUGUAGCGGUGAAAUGCGUAGAUAUUAGGAGGAACACCAGUGGCGAAGGCGGCUUGCUGGACAGUAACUGACGUUGAGGCUCGAAAGCGUGGGGAGCAAACAGGAUUAGAUACCCGGGUAGUC